AUUAUACCGUGAAACUGCGAAUGGCUCAUUAAAUCAGUUAUCGUUUAUUUGAUAGUACCUUACUACUUGGAUAACCGUGGUAAUUCUAGAGCUAAUACAUGCUGAAAACCCCGACUUCGGGAGGGGUGUAUUUAUUAGAUAAAAAACCAACGCCCUUCGGGGCUUCUUGGUGAUUCAUGAUAACUUCACGGAUCGCAUGGCCUUGCGCCGGCGACGGUUCAUUCAAAUUUCUGCCCUAUCAACUUUCGAUGGUAAGGUAUUGGCUUACCAUGGUUUCAACGGGUAACGGGGAAUUAGGGUUCGAUUCCGGAGAGGGAGCCUGAGAAACGGCUACCACAUCCAAGGAAGGCAGCAGGCGCGCAAAUUACCCAAUCCCGACACGGGGAGGUAGUGACAAUAAAUACUGAUACAGGGCUCUUUUGGGUCUUGUAAUUGGAAUGAGUACAAUUUAAACCUCUUAACGAGGAACAAUUGGAGGGCAAGUCUGGUGCCAGCAGCCGCGGUAAUUCCAGCUCCAAUAGCGUAUAUUAAAGUUGUUGCAGUUAAAAAGCUCGUAGUUGAAACUUGGGCCUGGCUGGCAGGUCCGCCUCACCGCGUGUACUUGUCCGGCCGGGCCUUUCCUUCUGGAGAACCUCAUGCCCUUCACUGGGUGUGCUGGGGAACCAGGACUUUUACUUUGAAAAAAUUAGAGUGUUCAAAGCAGGCCUUUGCUCGAAUACGUUAGCAUGGAAUAAUAGAAUAGGACGUGCGGUCCUAUUUUGUUGGUUUCUAGGACCGCCGUAAUGAUUAAUAGGGACAGUCGGGGGCAUCAGUAUUCAUUGUCAGAGGUGAAAUUCUUGUAUUUAUUGAAGACUAACUACUGCGAAAGCAUUUGCCAAGGAUGUUUUCAUUAAUCAGUGAACGAAAG
RNAcentral lists this ribosomal RNA (907 nucleotides) under Boeremia exigua. Its description in RNAcentral is "SSU rRNA". It matches the Rfam family "Eukaryotic small subunit ribosomal RNA", at positions 73 to 989 of the family's 1831-position model. The record is from RNAcentral. Lineage: Eukaryota; Fungi; Ascomycota; Dothideomycetes; Pleosporales; Didymellaceae.